AAAGAACAGUCUGCAUUGCAUGCUCACAGCAGCUCCAUCAGAGGUAGUAGAAGGCAGGAAAAGAUCCCUGAAGACAAUGUUCCCAAUGCUAGAAACUAUCAACCCUUUAUCAAAGAAGAAGUUCUAGUUGGUAUAUACAGUGAUGUUUUCUCAUGCACUGCUGAGCAGUUCUUUAAUGUCUUUAUGGCUGAUGAUUCAGAUUUUGUCAA
Molecule: long non-coding RNA, 209 nt
Organism: Telopea speciosissima
Lineage: Eukaryota; Viridiplantae; Streptophyta; Magnoliopsida; Proteales; Proteaceae
Exons: 2
Source: RefSeq, a predicted model, not a curated record